This 63-nucleotide microRNA precursor is filed under the name Parasteatoda tepidariorum (common house spider). RNAcentral describes it as "microRNA pte-mir-193a precursor". Its record names the gene pte-mir-193a. Lineage: Eukaryota; Metazoa; Arthropoda; Arachnida; Araneae; Theridiidae. The record is from miRBase by way of RNAcentral.
CGGGAUUUAGCUGGACUGAUGGACUGACUUCAGAAAUUGUCUACUGGCCUGUUAAGUCCCGAG